RNAcentral lists this long non-coding RNA (1143 nucleotides) under Gopherus agassizii (Agassiz's desert tortoise). RNAcentral describes it as "lncRNA (ENSGAGG00000009553.1)". Lineage: Eukaryota; Metazoa; Chordata; Testudines; Testudinidae. The record is from RNAcentral.
ACAGACUUAAAUUACUGUAAACUCCUGAACUGCAUGUGUUUACAUUUAUUUUUAUAGAAAUCUCGUUUAAUCAAACCACACACGGUUACGCAGUGUGGAGACAGCAGCAGAACUGUAUUAAUAAAUAAAAAUGAAAGUGUUCAGAAAACAAUGAGUCAAAGAAAUGCUUUCCAUAGAGAACCAGCUCCCUCAUCUUCAUGUUUGGAUAACUGUAGCAGAAAACAACAUGUGAAAAAAAGAGGCCCGAAAAGAUGGAAUAUUUCAGAGCACAGGGCUAUUUCCCAGAAGAAAGCAAGACCUCAUGAACGACAGAUACCUCCUGUUUCCCUAUUGGAGAAGGAUCACCGAGUUUCACUGGUACCUCUUCCUAAGAGCCAACACAUGCUUCUGGAGAAAUCUGAAGUUGCCAACAUUAAAAAAGAAGACAGUGACCCAGAAAUCAUCUGUGUAAUGGCGUCUGAGGAUGAGACUGAAGAUUUGUUUAAGUGUGGGGAAAGUAGAGAAUUUCUUUGGUUGAACAAAGGUUCAUUUGGAGGAAAACAGAAACGGCGUGACUUACAAAGGUAUAUUUGUUUUGAUCAGAAGGAUGCUACAAAAAUAAAGGGAAAUAAUUUGCCGCCUUCAAAAUUGGAAAGUGCAUUGGCUGAAGAUCAAAAAGGAUGUGCUGAAGGAAAAGCCCAAGUUGCAAUGCAGGAGACAGGUGCUGUGGCACACAUAGAAGAGUCUUCCCAGUGUAUGUCUGGAAAGAAAACGGUAGAAACUUUAACCUCUCUUUUAAGUAAUUGACCGAAUAGAAUGGGAUCUUACAAGAGCUUACAAUGGAGCUGUCAUAAAUGCUGGACUUCUGUCUUUGAUCCUGCGUAUAAUUCAGUUGCUGGCACUAACAGUGGAGAUUUUAAAACAUAGGAAACAAAUACUGCAUAGGAAAUAUUUAACUAUUCAAGAAUCAAAUGCUCCAAAAAAAAGAUUACACUGAUCUACAAUUUUUGAGAAGUCGUCUGCUUCAGAGAUAAAAUGUGGUAUUUUAUUAUGUAUUUUGAUGUGCUGAAUUCAAAUAUGACAAUUAAAACAACUGAUUGGCUACUGUUUCUAAGAUAUUUAAGUUUUUACAUUUUAUGUCUAUGUAUAUUGUGUAGAUAGUAG